AGUAGAACGCUGAAAGAGAGGAGCUUGCUCUUCUUGGAUGAGUUGCGAACGGGUGAGUAACGCGUAGGUAACCUGCCUUGUAGCGGGGGAUAACUAUUGGAAACGAUAGCUAAUACCGCAUAACAAUGGAUGACACAUGUCAUUUAUUUGAAAGGGGCAAUUGCUCCACUACAAGAUGGACCUGCGUUGUAUUAGCUAGUAGGUGAGGUAACGGCUCACCUAGGCGACGAUACAUAGCCGACCUGAGAGGGUGAUCGGCCACACUGGGACUGAGACACGGCCCAGACUCCUACGGGAGGCAGCAGUAGGGAAUCUUCGGCAAUGGGGGCAACCCUGACCGAGCAACGCCGCGUGAGUGAAGAAGGUUUUCGGAUCGUAAAGCUCUGUUGUAAGUCAAGAACGAGUGUGAGAGUGGAAAGUUCACACUGUGACGGUAGCUUACCAGAAAGGGACGGCUAACUACGUGCCAGCAGCCGCGGUAAUACGUAGGUCCCGAGCGUUGUCCGGAUUUAUUGGGCGUAAAGCGAGCGCAGGCGGUUUGAUAAGUCUGAAGUUAAAGGCUGUGGCUCAACCAUAGUUCGCUUUGGAAACUGUCAAACUUGAGUGCAGAAGGGGAGAGUGGAAUUCCAUGUGUAGCGGUGAAAUGCGUAGAUAUAUGGAGGAACACCGGUGGCGAAAGCGGCUCUCUGGUCUGUAACUGACGCUGAGGCUCGAAAGCGUGGGGAGCGAACAGGAUUAGAUACCCUGGUAGUCCACGCCGUAAACGAUGAGUGCUAGGUGUUGGAUCCUUUCCGGGAUUCAGUGCCGCAGCUAACGCAUUAAGCACUCCGCCUGGGGAGUACGACCGCAAGGUUGAAACUCAAAGGAAUUGACGGGGGCCCGCACAAGCGGUGGAGCAUGUGGUUUAAUUCGAAGCAACGCGAAGAACCUUACCAGGUCUUGACAUCCCGAUGCUAUUUCUAGAGAUAGAAAGUUACUUCGGUACAUCGGUGACAGGUGGUGCAUGGUUGUCGUCAGCUCGUGUCGUGAGAUGUUGGGUUAAGUCCCGCAACGAGCGCAACCCCUAUUGUUAGUUGCCAUCAUUCAGUUGGGCACUCUAGCGAGACUGCCGGUAAUAAACCGGAGGAAGGUGGGGAUGACGUCAAAUCAUCAUGCCCCUUAUGACCUGGGCUACACACGUGCUACAAUGGUUGGUACAACGAGUUGCGAGUCGGUGACGGCAAGCUAAUCUCUUAAAGCCAAUCUCAGUUCGGAUUGUAGGCUGCAACUCGCCUACAUGAAGUCGGAAUCGCUAGUAAUCGCGGAUCAGCACGCCGCGGUGAAUACGUUCCCGGGCCUUGUACACACCGCCCGUCACACCACGAGAGUUUGUAACACCCGAAGUCGGUGAGGUAACCUUUGGAGCCAGCCGCCUAAGGUG
RNAcentral lists this ribosomal RNA (1420 nucleotides) under bacterium NLAE-zl-P662. RNAcentral describes it as "16S ribosomal RNA". It matches the Rfam family "Bacterial small subunit ribosomal RNA". The record is from RNAcentral.